This is a long non-coding RNA of Ornithodoros turicata, 1188 nucleotides long. RefSeq lists it as uncharacterized. The record is from RefSeq and is a predicted model, not a curated record. Lineage: Eukaryota; Metazoa; Arthropoda; Arachnida; Ixodida; Argasidae. The transcript is spliced from 3 exons.
UUUUGCCUUCAUUUAUUUGUUGUGAUUGGGCGUGUCUUGUGACACUCUGGAAUGCAAGUGCUUCAUACUCUGACUAUUAUAUGGUGAAACUAGCUCUUAAAGUUACAUAUGUGAGUGCACUCUUCCCGCCCGUGCUUUUUGAGGGUGCACGUAAAAGGGCUUUAAUCCGCCGUCACAUGAUUCCGCUUCUGCUCUCAACGGAGUCACGGCAGGAAUCGAGGAACUCUGAGCAACUGAUGGCAGAUAUCCGCAUUCCUCGUAUUGUGCUUUUUGGUUCUCAAGUUUCUUUCAACGUCUGAAAACAUGCAAGUGGCAUACUUCAUUCAAGAAAGUGAUCAUCACUAUGCCUAUGGGGAAUCACACAUUGUCUGCUCAGAACUGCACAUCCAUCGUAACAAUCUAAGAACAAGAAGGGCUCCAGGAAGCAGGAAAUGACACACAAGGAGCAUGAACUAUAAGUGAGACCCUUUUAUUGACUUCAGUAACCCAAAGAAGAAGACAAAGGACACAUGAAAGAAUGUCAGUGCACUUUUGCAAGAAAAGGUAUAUAUGUAGCAAGAUCAUAUGCAGAACGCGAAACAAAAUUCACUGGCCCGAAGAGAGCAUACAACAAAUUGGUCCACUGGACGUGAGAGGCAUCAACGGGAGUUCUUUCCUGCAGUGGAUGCUGCAUUAUGGUAGAAUUGAGACUUCACUUCUUUCUGUGCUACCUCUGCUUCUGCUCCUUCCCAACUACUAGUACCUUUCGAGCCAAUCGAGCCAGCAGAGCAAUUAGCUCUGUGUCCAAAAUAACUACAUUCAUGACAGUGAGGCCAUUACUUAAGACCACUCGUGUAGACAAGGCUUAACAACAUGACAACCUGUGACAGUGGCAAGAGGAGGACAGAAGCCAGCAUCUGCAAAUGCAGUGGACAAAGCUGAAGCUGCUACAGAGAUUAGCUAGCAGCACGAGACAGUCAUGAAAUGGAACGCAGCUGAUCUGCCCCCCUCAUAUGAAGGAGAGUUGCGAUCACUGUGAUAGUCAUAGCCUCCUUUAUAAGUGACUGUAGUUUCAUUGAUCUAAUCUGCAUGUAACCAAGCUGUCUGUUUUUAUUACUCUGGAUAUUGUUGUUAUUUACUACAUGUUGGGAUGCAAUCAUAUGCAUGUGUAAGCAAGGUCAAAUGAUACGAGACACAAUCAACCGUCGA